CUGAGGGAAACCAGGGCCUCAGACUGACCCACAGGCCUUGGCCAGAUGCUCUUCUGCUCCAACUGACCUUCCUGUUCCAAGAGGCUGAUGACUGGGAGCCCUGCAGAGACGCCAGGCACACAGCCAUCAGCCAGUGAGGGAGUUUAGCCUAUUGAUCCAGUCCCAAGAUCCUCAUCAAAGAUAAUCAGUGCUCAAUUUUUGUCAUGUAAGUCUUCCCAAUCCUCAACCCCCUACUCUUUUUCACAAUGUUGUUGUAACACACACAGAUAAA
This 271-nucleotide long non-coding RNA is filed under the name Chinchilla lanigera (long-tailed chinchilla). RNAcentral's name for it is "lncRNA (ENSCLAG00000028636.1)". Lineage: Eukaryota; Metazoa; Chordata; Mammalia; Rodentia; Chinchillidae. The record is from RNAcentral.